UACAGAGGGUGCGAGCGUUACUCGGAAUUACUGGGCGUAAAGCGUGCGUAGGUGGUUCGUUAAGUCUGUCGUGAAAGCCCCGGGCUCAACCUGGGAAUGGCGAUGGAUACUGGCGGGCUAGAGUGCGGUAGAGGAGAGUGGAAUUCCCGGUGUAGCAGUGAAAUGCGUAGAGAUCGGGAGGAACAUCAGUUGCGAAGGCGGCUCUCUGGACCAGCACUGACACUGAGGCACGAAAGCGUGGGGAGCAAACAGG
RNAcentral lists this ribosomal RNA (253 nucleotides) under uncultured bacterium. Its description in RNAcentral is "partial 16S ribosomal RNA". It matches the Rfam family "Bacterial small subunit ribosomal RNA", at positions 524 to 776 of the family's 1533-position model. The record is from RNAcentral.